GUACACUCCUGCGGGAGGCAGCAGUGGGGAAUAUUGGACAAUGGGCGCAAGCCUGAUCCAGCCAUGCCGCGUGAGUGAUGAAGGCCCUAGGGUUGUAAAGCUCUUUCACCGGAGAAGAUAAUGACGGUAUCCGGAGAAGAAGCCCCGGCUAACUUCGUGCCAGCAGCCGCGGUAAUACGAAGGGGGCUAGCGUUGUUCGGAAUUACUGGGCGUAAAGCGCACGUAGGCGGAUCGAUCAGUCAGGGGUGAAAUCCCAGGGCUCAACCCUGGAACUGCCUUUGAUACUGUCGAUCUGGAGUAUGGAAGAGGUGAGUGGAAUUCCGAGUGUAGAGGUGAAAUUCGUAGAUAUUCGGAGGAACACCAGUGGCGAAGGCGGCUCACUGGUCCAUUACUGACGCUGAGGUGCGAAAGCGUGGGGAGCAAACAGGAUUAGAAACCCGGCUAGUCCCAUGAU
Molecule: ribosomal RNA, 454 nt
Filed under: uncultured organism
Description: partial 16S ribosomal RNA
Rfam family: Bacterial small subunit ribosomal RNA
Source: RNAcentral